CAAAGCGCAGUGAUGGAAAAGAUGAUCGUCUGAUCGUUUUGCAGAGAGCCGGCGGAAGGUGCAAGCCGGUAAACAGGGCGAUGAUUUCCGCUUCCGGAGCGUUUAGCGAUGAGCUAAGGGGUGGCGCCCUGUAACGCGCCAAGAAAGAGGCAGAAAAUUUUUCUGCAAUUUGGGUGGCAACACGGAAAAGUUCCUUUCGUCCCAUGG
RNAcentral lists this non-coding RNA (207 nucleotides) under Clostridium sp. RNAcentral's name for it is "T-box sequence". It matches the Rfam family "T-box leader". Rfam says of the family: Uncharged tRNA acts as the effector for transcription antitermination of genes in the T-box leader family. T-boxes are found upstream of many aminoacyl-tRNA synthetase genes and some amino acid biosynthetic genes usually in Gram-positive bacteria. The anticodon of a specific tRNA base pairs to a specifier sequence within the T-box motif, and the NCCA acceptor tail of the tRNA base pairs to a conserved bulge in the T-box antiterminator hairpin. The record is from RNAcentral. Lineage: Bacteria; Bacillati; Bacillota; Clostridia; Eubacteriales; Clostridiaceae.